Molecule: non-coding RNA, 254 nt
Filed under: Aeromonas schubertii
Lineage: Bacteria; Pseudomonadati; Pseudomonadota; Gammaproteobacteria; Aeromonadales; Aeromonadaceae
Description: partial 16S ribosomal RNA
Rfam family: Bacterial small subunit ribosomal RNA
Source: RNAcentral
AAAUUGAAGAGUUUGAUCAUGGCUCAGAUNNNNNNNNNNACGCUGGCGGCAAACACAUGCAAGUCGAGCGGCAGCGGGAAGUAGCUUGCUACUUUGCCGGCGAGCGGCGGACGGGUGAGUAAUGCCUGGGGAUCUGCCCAGUCGAGGGGGAUAACUACUGGAAACGGUGGCUAAUACCGCAUGCGCCCUACGGGGGAAAGCAGGGGACCUUCGGGCCUUGCGCGAUUGGAUGAACCCAGGUGGGAUUAGCUUGU